This 827-nucleotide unclassified non-coding RNA is filed under the name Hevea brasiliensis (rubber tree). The record is from RNAcentral. Lineage: Eukaryota; Viridiplantae; Streptophyta; Magnoliopsida; Malpighiales; Euphorbiaceae.
AUCUCUUUCUCUUUCCUCAGACCUUCAAUGGCGUUGGCCAUGGUGAUUCUUGCUCUGUUUCUACUCCUCUGUUUUUGCGCUGCUUUGCUACGAUGGAAUGAAGUUCGAUAUAGCAAAAAGGGGUUGCCUCCAGGUACAAUGGGAUGGCCUGUUUUUGGGGAAACUACUGAGUUUCUUAAACAAGGUCCAAACUUUAUGAAAUCUCAAAGAGCGAGGUAUGGGAGCAUUUUCAAGUCCCAUAUUUUGGGGUGUCCUACGAUUGUUUCUAUGGAUCCUGAGGUUAAUAGAUAUGUUUUAAUGAAUGAAUCAAAAGGGCUUGUCCCUGGUUACCCUCAAUCCAUGCUUGACAUACUUGGAAAAUGCAAUAUCGCCGCCGUCCAUGGCGGCGCUCACAAGCUCAUGAGAGGUGCUCUGCUUGCUAUUGUUAGCCCCACCAUGAUUAAAGACCGUCUUCUUCCUAAAAUCGAUGACUUUAUGCGAUCUCAUUUGAGGAAUUGGGAUCCCCAAAUCAUUGAUAUCCAAGAAAAGACUAAAGAGAUGGCUCUCCGGUCGUCUUUGAAGCAGAUUGCUGGAAUCGAAUCCGGUCCGUUGUCAGAAUCUUUCAUCCCGGAGUUCUUCAAGCUCGUCCUCGGCACCCUCUCGCUCCCCAUCGAUCUUCCCGGCACGAACUACCGCCGAGGAAUUCAGGCCAGGAAGAACAUAAUAAAGCUAUUGCAGCAGCUGAUAAAUGAGAGAAGAGAUUCAAAGAUACAAAAGGAUGACAUGCUUGGGUAUUUUAUGAGUGAGGAGAACAAAUAUAAGCUAAACGAUGAAGAGAUUAUUGAUCA